UUGGGACAAUCGAUUUGGACAUCGAUUAAGUAACACGGCAAAUCGAUUUGGGAAUCGAUUAGGAAAAUGACCGUUGCGUAUUUUUUUACUAGCCGUUGGACAUCAUUAUUACACAAUCGAUUAAGGAUUCGGUGUAACGGUAAACCAAUCGAUUUGGCAAUCGAUUGAUAAGGGUAAAAGUAUAAAAAGGAACAGGUCUAAAUCGAUUUCUUCACUGUUUAAGUCCAGAUUUCUAUAUUUCUUUCUCUGCUUCAUCUUCUUCCUCUGUCUCUGCAACUGAUAUCUGCAACUGAUUCUGAACUCUAUCUUCACUCAUCUCCUCUAUUUGCAACCAUGGCCCGCGUGAAACAAACACAAGCCCAUACUCCUUCACCUUCAUCAUCUUCAACCAGUGAAACUCCCUCUCCGCCACCUACUGUGUCUAAAAGAAUUCCGAUUCCUACACACAAAAUUCUUGCAAAGGACAAGGGCAAGGCUCCUGCUCCUAUUCCAGAAAAGAUCAAGAAAAGGAAGGAACCACCAAGUGAGAAGUUGUUGGCUG
This 541-nucleotide long non-coding RNA is filed under the name Cicer arietinum (chickpea). Its description in RNAcentral is "long non-coding RNA (CARI_LNC003619)". Lineage: Eukaryota; Viridiplantae; Streptophyta; Magnoliopsida; Fabales; Fabaceae. The record is from RNAcentral.